UCCAAGACCAAGUUCACCAAGAGGUGCCUCCCCACAAGCCGUCUCUUCAAAGCCGCCUUCUCCAAGAGCAGAGCUACCAACAUUGGACACUCCAAGACCUCCUUCUCCAAGAGCUGCUUCUUCAAGGGCAGAGCCACCAACAUUGGACACUCCAAGACCUCCUUCCCCAAAAACUGCCUCUCCAAGGGCAGACCCACCAAGAUUCGAUGCUCCAAGACCCACCACGCCUAAACCUCCUUCUCCAAGAGCAGACACACCAAGAUUGGAUGCUCCAAGACCUACCACGCCUAAGCCUCCUUCUCCAAGAGCAGACGCACCAAGAUUGGAUGCUCCAAGACCCACUACGCCUAAGCCCUCUUCUCCAAGAGCGGUUUCGCCUAGGGGUGUGCAGCGACGAGAGGUUGUUUAUAGACCAGAGGCGACGCUUCCGGUCCAACAUG
This 440-nucleotide long non-coding RNA is filed under the name Arabidopsis lyrata. RNAcentral's name for it is "long non-coding RNA (ALYR_LNC002182)". Lineage: Eukaryota; Viridiplantae; Streptophyta; Magnoliopsida; Brassicales; Brassicaceae. The record is from RNAcentral.